CACGUAGGGCGCAAGCGUUGUCCGGAAUUAUUGGGCGUAAAGAGCUCGUAGGCGGUCUGUUGCGUCCGCUGUGAAAACUCGGGGCUUAACCCCGAGCCUGCAGUGGAUACGGGCAGACUAGAGGUAGGUAGGGUAGAUCGGAAUUCCUGGUGUAGCGGUGAAAUGCGCAGAUAUCAGGAGGAACACCGGUGGCGAAGGCGGAUCUCUGGGCCUUACCUGACGCUCAGGUGCGAAAGCUAGGGGAGCGAACAGG
RNAcentral lists this ribosomal RNA (253 nucleotides) under uncultured bacterium. Its description in RNAcentral is "partial 16S ribosomal RNA". It matches the Rfam family "Bacterial small subunit ribosomal RNA", at positions 524 to 776 of the family's 1533-position model. The record is from RNAcentral.